RNAcentral lists this long non-coding RNA (730 nucleotides) under Zostera marina. RNAcentral describes it as "long non-coding RNA (ZMAR_LNC000352)". The record is from RNAcentral. Lineage: Eukaryota; Viridiplantae; Streptophyta; Magnoliopsida; Alismatales; Zosteraceae.
UUUUUUAUAAUCCCGAAUAAAAAAGCCGAUCUAAUAUUACAGUUACCGCCGAUGGUGAUCGUCAUUUGAUUACUAUCUCGCUCCUCUCGAUCUCUCUUCCUCUUCUUCUACGUCCGAUUCCGAAGCAUGGACAACCUUCCAUCGACGACACUCCACCGGUAGAUUCUUCAAGGUUUUCUCCCUUGUUCAUUUUUUUCCCGUUUAUUCUUCUCUCUAUUUCGUUUAUUUUUUGAAGAUUUAUUCUGGUGGAUGAUUUGCAAGAAAGGAGUUUCUGAUGUCUUUUAUUAGGGCUGGCCGAAUUGGUCCUUGCUAAAGAUGAAAUGGGAUGUGAAAAUGGGAGUACUGCUCUUCCCUUCUUUUCGGUACCAGCAAAUGAUGGUUUGUUGAUUACCUGAUUUCGAUUGUUAGGAGAAGAAGUAAACAAAAAUGUAAUGACUUAUUAUUUUAACAAUUAAGAAUUUGGGAUAGAGAACAAAAAAAGGCUUAUGAAUUUGAAGACUUAGAUCGAUCAUGGGGCUUCUCUUGGCGCACAUGAUCGAUCGCAAUUCAUUAUAGAGAUUUAGUCAAUUAAUCUUCGUCAACGUACAAUAUCAUUAUAAAAAAUAAUGGUGCACAUCCAUAUGUUAUAUAUACAUAUAUAUUUUUUGUAAAAAUUAAUAUCUGAGGUCACUUAUGAUGACGAACAUCAAAACUUAAUUAUAUUAUUAAGAUAUAAUUAGGGGUAGUUAAG